RNAcentral lists this ribosomal RNA (443 nucleotides) under uncultured bacterium. RNAcentral describes it as "partial 16S ribosomal RNA". It matches the Rfam family "Bacterial small subunit ribosomal RNA", at positions 338 to 795 of the family's 1533-position model. The record is from RNAcentral.
CCUACGGGCGGCAGCAGUGGGGAAUAUUGGGCAAUGGGCGCAAGCCUGACCCAGCAACGCCGCGUGAAGGAAGAAGGCUUCCGGGUUGUAAACUUCUUUUCUGCGGGACGAAGAAAGUGACGGUACCUCAGGACUAAGCCACGGCUAACUACGUGCCAGCAGCCGCGGUAAUACGUAGGUGGCAAGCGUUCUCCGGAUUCAUUGGGUGUAAAGGGCGUGUAGGCGGGAAAGCAAGUCAGAUGUGAAAACUCAGGGCUCAACCCUGGGCCUGCAUUUGAAACUGUUGUUCUUGAGUGCUGGAGAGGCAAUCGGAAUUCCGUGUGUAGCGGUGAAAUGCGUAGAUAUACGGAGGAACACCAGUGGCGAAGGCGGAUUGCUGGACGGUAACUGACGCUGAGGCGCGAAAGCGUGGGGAGCGAACAGGAUUAGAUACCCGAGUAGUC